UGAUUUUACUCGUAGCAGGUGACUAGCAU
Molecule: non-coding RNA, 29 nt
Filed under: Rattus norvegicus (Norway rat)
Lineage: Eukaryota; Metazoa; Chordata; Mammalia; Rodentia; Muridae
Source: RNAcentral